This 497-nucleotide ribosomal RNA is filed under the name uncultured bacterium. RNAcentral describes it as "partial 16S ribosomal RNA". It matches the Rfam family "Bacterial small subunit ribosomal RNA", at positions 28 to 507 of the family's 1533-position model. The record is from RNAcentral.
GAUGAACGCUGGCGGCGUGCCUAAUACAUGCAAGUCGAGCGAACAGACGAGGCGCUUGCUCCUCUGACGUUAGCGGCGGACGUGUGAGUAACACGUGGAUAACCUCCCUAUCAGACUGGGAUCACUUCGGGACACCGGCGCUUAUCCCGGAUAAUAUCUUGAACCGCAUGGUUCAAUAGUGAAAGACGGUUUUGCUGUCACUUCUAGCUGGUUCCGCGCCGCAUUAGCUAGUUGGUAAGGUCACGGCUUAGCAAGGCAACGAUGCGUAUCCGAGCUGAGAGGGGGAUCGGCCACACUGGAACUGAGACAGGGACCAGGGGCCUGCGGGAGGCAGCAGAAUGGAAUCGUCCGCAGUGGGCGAAAGCCUGACGGAGCAACGCCGCGCGAGAGAUGAAGGUCUUCGGAUCGUAAAACUCUGUUAUUAGGGAAGAACAAAUGUGUAAUUAACUAUGCACGUCUUGACGGUACCUAAUCAGAAAGCCACGGCUAACUACGUG